ACACUCCUGCGGGAGGCAGCAGUGGGGAAUAUUGCACAAUGGGCGCAAGCCUGAUGCAGCCAUGCCGCGUGUAUGAAGAAGGCCUUCGGGUUGUAAAGUACUUUCAGCGGGGAGGAAGGCGAUAAGGUUAAUAACCUUGUUGAUUGACGUUACCCGCAGAAGAAGCACCGGCUAACUCCGUGCCAGCAGCCGCGGUAAUACGGAGGGUGCAAGUGUUAAUCGGAAUUACUGGGCGUAAAGCGCACGCAGGCGGUCUGUCAAGUCGGAUGUGAAAUCCCCGGGCUCAACCUGGGAACUGCAUUCGAAACUGGCAGGCUAGAGUCUUGUAGAGGGGGGUAGAAUUCCAGGUGUAGCGGUGAAAUGCGUAGAGAUCUGGAGGAAUACCGGUGGCGAAGGCGGCCCCCUGGACAAAGACUGACGCUCAGGUGCGAAAGCGUGGGGAGCAAACAGGAUUAGAUACCCUUGUAGUCCCAUGA
RNAcentral lists this ribosomal RNA (476 nucleotides) under uncultured organism. RNAcentral describes it as "partial 16S ribosomal RNA". It matches the Rfam family "Bacterial small subunit ribosomal RNA", at positions 333 to 800 of the family's 1533-position model. The record is from RNAcentral.